UNUGACUUGAGUGCAGAAGGGGAGAGUGGAAUUCCAUGUGUAGCGGUGAAAUGCGUAGAUAUAUGGAGGAACACCAGUGGCGAAGGCGGCUCUCUGGUCUGUCACUGACGCUGAGGCUCGAAAGCGUGGGUAGCGAACAGGAUUAGAUACCCUGGUAGUNCACGCCGUAAACGAUGAGUGCUAGGUGUUAGGCCCUUUCCGGGGCUUAGUGCCGGAGCUAACGCAAUAAGCACUCCGCCUGGGGAGUACGACCGCAAGGUUGAAACUCAAAGGAAUUGACGGGGGCCCGCACAAGCGGUGGAGCAUGUGGUUUAAUUCGAAGCAACGCGAAGAACCUUACCAGGUCUUGACAUCCCGAUGCUAUUCUUAGAGAUAGGAAGUUACUUCGGUACAUCGGAGACAGGUGGUGCAUGGUUGUCGUCAGCUCGUGUCGUGAGAUGUUGGGUUAAGUCCCGCAACGAGCGCAACCCUUAUUGUUAGUUGCCAUCAUUAAGUUGGGCACUCUAGCGAGACUGCCGGUAAUAAACCGGAGGAAGGUGGGGAUGACGUCAGAUCAUCAUGCCCCUUAUGACCUGGGCUACACACGUGCUACAAUGGUCGGUACAACGAGUUGCGAGCCGGUGACGGCAAGCUAAUCUCUGAAAGCCGAUCUCAGUUCGGAUUGGAGGCUGCAACUCGCCUCCAUGAAGUCGGAAUCGCUAGUAAUCGCGGAUCAGCACGCCGCGGUGAAUACGUUCCCGGGCCUUGUACACACCGCCCGUCACACCACGAGAGUUUGUAACACCCGAAGUCGGUG
This 796-nucleotide ribosomal RNA is filed under the name uncultured bacterium. RNAcentral's name for it is "bacterial SSU rRNA". It matches the Rfam family "Bacterial small subunit ribosomal RNA", at positions 636 to 1432 of the family's 1533-position model. The record is from RNAcentral.